AGUGAACGCUGGCGGCGUGCUUAACACAUGCAAGUCGAACGAGAACGGGUUAUAGCUUGCUAUAAUUGUCAGCUAAGUGGCGCACGGGUGAGUAAUGUAUAGGUAAUAUGCCUCUUACUAAGGGAUAACAAUUGGAAACGAUUGCUAAUACCUUAUACUCCUUAUUAACCUAAGUUAAUAAGGGAAAGAUUUAUUGAUAAGAGAUUAGCCUGUAUUGUAUCAGUUAGUUGGUGGGGUAAUGGCCUACCAAGACUAUGACACAUAACUGGUUUGAGAGGAUGAUCAGUCACACUGGAACUGAGACACGGUCCAGACUCCUACGGGAGGCAGCAGUGGGGAAUAUUGCACAAUGGACGAAAGUCUGAUGCAGCAACGCCGCGUGGAGGAUGACACAUUUCGGUGCGUAAACUCCUUUUAUAUGAGAGGAUAAUGACGGUAUUAUAUGAAUAGGCACCGGCUAACUCCGUGCCAGCCGCCGCGGUAA
This 484-nucleotide ribosomal RNA is filed under the name uncultured bacterium. RNAcentral describes it as "partial 16S ribosomal RNA". It matches the Rfam family "Bacterial small subunit ribosomal RNA", at positions 29 to 523 of the family's 1533-position model. The record is from RNAcentral.